RNAcentral lists this ribosomal RNA (775 nucleotides) under uncultured Neocallimastigales. RNAcentral's name for it is "partial large subunit ribosomal RNA". It matches the Rfam family "Eukaryotic large subunit ribosomal RNA", at positions 26 to 627 of the family's 3401-position model. Lineage: Eukaryota; Fungi; Neocallimastigomycota; Neocallimastigomycetes; Neocallimastigales. The record is from RNAcentral.
CGUCUAUAUACGUAUAGCAUAUCAAUAAGCGGAGGAAAAGAAACUAACUAGGAUUCCCUCAGUAACGGCGAGUGAAGCGGGAAGAGCUCAAAUUUGAAAUCUUCAAGGUUCUACCUUGACGAAUUGUAGUUUAAAGAAGUGUUUUCUGUUGGAGUUUCGGUAAAAGUUCUUUGGAAUAGGACAUCAUAGAGGGUGAGAAUCCCGUAUUUGACCAUUACUUUCCAGCUGUGUGAUACACUUUCAAAGAGUCGGAUUGUUUGGGAAUGCAGUCCAAAAUGGGUGGUAAAUUUCAUCUAAAGCUAAAUACUGGCGAGAGACCGAUAGCGAACAAGUACCGUGAGGGAAAGAUGAAAAGAACUUUGAAAAGAGAGUUAAACAGUACGUGAAAUUGUCAAAAGGGAAGCGUUUGACACCAGUGUUGUUUUCUCGAAAAUCAAUUAAAAAUGGCUGGAUUUUGUGUUGUAUUGACUUUAUCAGCUUUCUGCACUUUUUUCCUGUCUUUUUUAAUGCACUUUUCGUUUAACAAGUCAACAUCAAUUUCUUUUGUUGUAAAAGGGUCAUUGGAAGGUGGCUUUCUUUUCGGAGAAAGUGUUUAUAGCCUUUGACUUCUGCAAUCGGAGAGAUUGAGGUCUGCAGCGUAGAUCCUUCGGGGUUAGAUGCAUUUGUGCUAAGUUAUAGCCUUUCAUAGACAACUUGUUGACUAUAUUUAGUCUUGUAACUUACUCGCUUAUGUAAUUUUACCUACGCUUAGGAUGUUGACGAUCAGCUGAGCGCG